AAGGUUUUUUUUCUUUUUUCAGUCACUACUGAGCUCAGAGCUGCCCUCCUCGGAAGACAGGGCCAAUGUCCUUAAGUUCGUCAAAACAAACCCCACUGCCGUAGGAGCCCAGUCCCUUCACUUACUCUGCCUGGACCACUCCAGCAGAUGGAGUACAUGCUUGAUCACUUCCCGCUUAUUCUACUCCAGUAUGGCAAGGACGUGUACGAUACCCCGAUCGAGUGGGUGGAUCUUGUGUCCGCUCUGAUCAAUCACAAAGCAGGUCUGCCCUCAAGCGACCCACCACAUCAAGUCUAUUCGGAUGUUUUGAAUGACGUGUUGAGCGAACUAGUAGCCACGUCUCCUCUGGACGUGUUCCUCCGAAUAAUUCCCAGCACCCACCACGAGGAGUUGCGGAACUCCAUUCGACAGUGCCACUCCGCUGCAUUGGCCACCUAUCUGCGUUCAUCAUUGAUAACAUACGCAAACAACUUGUUGGCGCAGAUGGCCAAGUAAUUUGUAAGACCUGUUUUUUUUUUUUUUUUUUUUUUUUCUUUCUUUUUUUUUUCAGUUACAUACAAGUGACAUCCCAUGCAGGUACGAUAAUAAGAUUGUUUAUUUGGUUGCCAGAUACACAAAGGUGCCACAUUGCAUUUAUGUAAGUCAUAGCAUUCAGAAUCUCAUCCUUUUUGUUAUCACCUGAAUUACAGUGUUCUAAUAAUUCUAGUCUUACUUAGGUGUAUAUAAGUAUUUAAAAUUUUAAGUUUAAAGUAAUCUCCUCCUUUUUUUUUUUUUUGUUUCUUUUCAUUAUGGUUUGAGUCAUAAGGUGCAGUUAAUUUUUACCAUUUACCUAUUCAGGUAAUAUAAGAUUAUGUCAAAUAGCUAAUGACCUGUUAUGUUUUAAAUCAGAUACGUUUAUUGUAGAGUUAGAGAAUUAAAUACGUUGAUUUUUCCUUUGCUUUAAUUCAAAUAGCUUGUCUGCACAAAUUGGGUACUAGCUUUUAAGUGUCACUUUAUAUGUUAAAUUAUACUUUAGUUUGUUCUGUAUUGGCUAAGUUACAGUGCAAGUUAGUUAGUGUUGGGUCCUUUCUAAAUGUUAAUGUUUUACUUCCAUUCAACUUAACUUUACCAAACAUAUUUAUCAGUUUUUAUACUCAAUUUCCUGUCUCCUAUCUAGUCAUACUUUUGAACCCUUGUUGAAUUUAA
This is a long non-coding RNA of Macrobrachium nipponense, 1185 nucleotides long. RefSeq lists it as uncharacterized. The record is from RefSeq and is a predicted model, not a curated record. Lineage: Eukaryota; Metazoa; Arthropoda; Malacostraca; Decapoda; Palaemonidae. The transcript has 3 exons.